UUAGUGGCGGACGGGUGAGUAACGCGUGGGUAACCUGCCUUGUACUGGGGGACAACAGUUGGAAACGACUGCUAAUACCGCAUAAGCGCACAGCUUCGCAUGAAGCAGUGCGAAAAACUCCGGUGGUAUGGGAUGGGCCCGCGUCUGAUUAGGCAGUUGGCGGGGUAACGGCCCACCAAACCGACGAUCAGUAGCCGGCCUGAGAGGGCGACCGGCCACAUUGGGACUGAGACACGGCCCAA
Molecule: ribosomal RNA, 242 nt
Filed under: uncultured bacterium
Lineage: Bacteria
Description: partial 16S ribosomal RNA
Rfam family: Bacterial small subunit ribosomal RNA
Source: RNAcentral